Non-coding RNA from Tepidanaerobacter syntrophicus, 78 nucleotides. The record is from Rfam. NCBI's taxonomy places the organism in Bacteria, Bacillati, Bacillota, Clostridia, Thermosediminibacterales, Tepidanaerobacteraceae.
AACGAUAAAGGCAAACUCGUGGAAACGCGGGGACGCAAAGCUAGAGGGCCUUCGCAAGAUGGCAGCCAGCUACCGAAA